RNAcentral lists this unclassified non-coding RNA (253 nucleotides) under Lactarius vietus. Its description in RNAcentral is "partial internal transcribed spacer 2". The record is from RNAcentral. Lineage: Eukaryota; Fungi; Basidiomycota; Agaricomycetes; Russulales; Russulaceae.
AAAUCUCAACCUCCUCGGUUUCUUCUGGACGCCGAAGGAGGCUUGGACUUUGGAGGCCUUUGCUGGCGUCUCUCGCCAGCUCCUCUCAAAUGAAUUAGCGGGGUCCUCUUUGCCGAUCCUCGACGUGUGAUAAGAUGUUUCCAUGUCUUGGUUUCUGGCUCUGUCGCUUUUGGGACCCGCUUCUAACCGUCUCAAGUCGAGACAACGUUUGAGCGUGUCUCCCUUCUCGGGAAACACCCUCGAGCCCACGAAC